AGCGAACGCUGGCGGCAGGCCUAACACAUGCAAGUCGAACGGACCCUUCGGGGUUAGUGGCGGACGGGUGAGUAACACGUGGGAACGUGCCUUUAGGUUCGGAAUAGCUCCUGGAAACGGGUGGUAAUGCCGAAUGUGCCCUUCGGGGGAAAGAUUUAUCGCCUUUAGAGCGGCCCGCGUCUGAUUAGCUAGUUGGUGAGGUAAUGGCUCACCAAGGCGACGAUCAGUAGCUGGUCUGAGAGGAUGACCAGCCACAUUGGGACUGAGACACGGCCCAAACUCCUACGGGAGGCAGCAGUGGGGAAUCUUGCGCAGUGGGCGAAAGCCUGACGCAGCCAUGCCGCGUGAAUGAUGAAGGUCUUAGGAUUGUAAAAUUCUUUCACCGGGGACGAUAAUGACGGUACCCGGAGAAGAAGCCCCGGCUAACUUCGUGCCAGCCGCCGCGGUAA
This 449-nucleotide ribosomal RNA is filed under the name uncultured bacterium. RNAcentral describes it as "partial 16S ribosomal RNA". It matches the Rfam family "Bacterial small subunit ribosomal RNA", at positions 29 to 523 of the family's 1533-position model. The record is from RNAcentral.